UGAAGCACAUUUGUUUGCUUUCGGCAUUAGCCCAUUGAUACUACACACAAAGUUGCCGCCCGCGAAAGUUAUCAUAGACAUUAGAGUAUAAAGGAAUUAGAAACUGCAUAGGCAGAACAAAUUUGAAGUUAUCGCCGCAUAAACUCUAAUUUUACGCAUGCAUAACUUCGAAAGAAAAAAUAAUUAUCAUGUGGUUCCACGUGUAUUGUACAACAGUACAAGUAAUUGUCAGAUAUGAAGGACGAGGGGAAAGAAGAGCAUGAAUGAUGGAGACACUAGAGACAGAAGGAAAGAAGUGGUAAUUAGAAGAUGCUGAAUUACAACAUGUGCAAAGCCUCUCAGCUUAACGUAUUCCUGAAUUACAUAGGCAAUCGUGCUUGUUCAUGGCUAAUGUUUUUCUUCACAACUUUCUCUAAGCUGUUCUACAUUGGUCUCUGAAUCUUGUAGUAGCUGUUACAGAAGGCAUAUUAUUUCCAUUGUAGUAGCCUCCAAUAUAUUGAAUUGCUGCUAUUUCAUCUGCAGUUAUAUCUUCCUCGAUAUUUGUUGAGGCAGGUGUUGAGAUCUGCAAACUCUUCAAAGUAUUGUGUAAUAUUUGGUGUUGUUUAAAAUGAUGGAGUUUUUGGUAAUUGCUCCUUCAGUAAAGCAUUGCCAGAAUAUUUCAUAAUUUGAAGGACUGGUAAAAGGGAGUAGAGAAUGGAGCAGUUUUGUGUGGGGAAAUUUUGCCUUUGAUGUAGUAAUAGCGAUAUUGCU
Amphimedon queenslandica is the source of this 750-nucleotide long non-coding RNA. RefSeq lists it as uncharacterized. The transcript has 5 exons. The record is from RefSeq and is a predicted model, not a curated record. NCBI's taxonomy places the organism in Eukaryota, Metazoa, Porifera, Demospongiae, Haplosclerida, Niphatidae.